ACGGGUGAGUAAUAUAUCGGAACGUGCCCUGGAGUGGGGGAUAACUAGUCGAAAGACUAGCUAAUACCGCAUACGAUCUACGGAUGAAAGUGGGGGAUCGCAAGACCUCAUGCUCGUGGAGCGGCCGAUAUCUGAUUAGCUAGUUGGUGGGGUAAAAGCCUACCAAGGCGACGAUCAGUAGCUGGUCUGAGAGGACGGCCAGCCACACUGGGACUGAGACACGGCCCAGACUCCUACGGGAGGCAGCAGUGGGGAAUUUUGGACAAUGGGGGCAACCCUGAUCCAGCAAUGCCGCGUGUGUGAAGAAGGCCUUCGGGUUGUAAAGCACUUUUGUCAGGAACGAAACGGUUGGGGCUAAUAUCCCUGGCUAAUGACGGUACCUGAAGAAUAAGCACCGGCUAACUACGUGCCAGCAGCCGCGGUAAUACGUAGGGUGCAAGCGUUAAUCGGAAUUACUGGGCGUAAAGCGUGCGCAGGCGGUUGUGCAAGACAGAUGUGAAGUCCCCGGGCUUAACCUGGGAAUUGCAUUUGUGACUGCACGGCUAGAGUGUGUCAGAGGGGGGUAGAAUUCCACGUGUAGCAGUG
This 585-nucleotide ribosomal RNA is filed under the name uncultured bacterium. RNAcentral describes it as "bacterial SSU rRNA". It matches the Rfam family "Bacterial small subunit ribosomal RNA", at positions 102 to 683 of the family's 1533-position model. The record is from RNAcentral.